Molecule: ribosomal RNA, 468 nt
Filed under: uncultured bacterium
Lineage: Bacteria
Description: partial 16S ribosomal RNA
Rfam family: Bacterial small subunit ribosomal RNA
Source: RNAcentral
GACGAACGCUGGCGGCGUGCUUAACACAUGCAAGUCGAACGGAAAGGCCCUGCUUUUGCGGGGUGCUCGAGUGGCGAACGGGUGAGUAACACGUGAGUAACCUGCCCUUGACUUUGGGAUAACUUCAGGAAACUGGGGCUAAUACCGGAUAGGAGCUCCUGCUGCAUGGUGGGGGUUGGAAAGUUUCGGCGGUUGGGGAUGGACUCGCGGCUUAUCAGCUUGUUGGUGGGGUAGUGGCUUACCAAGGCUUUGACGGGUAGCCGGCCUGAGAGGGUGACCGGCCACAUUGGGACUGAGAGACGGCCCAGACUCCUACGGGAGGCAGCAGUGGGGAAUAUUGCACAAUGGGCGGAAGCCUGAUGCAGCAACGCCGCGUGCGGGAUGACGGCCUUCGGGUUGUAAACCGCUUUCGCCUGUGACGAAGCGUGAGUGACGGUAAUGGGUAAAGAAGCACCGGCUAACUACGUG